This 76-nucleotide transfer RNA is filed under the name Rhysodesmus zapotecus. RNAcentral describes it as "tRNA-Val". The record is from RNAcentral. Lineage: Eukaryota; Metazoa; Arthropoda; Diplopoda; Polydesmida; Xystodesmidae.
CAUAUUAGAGUUUAGUUUGAAUUUUUCUGUUACGUUGAAAUGGCCCUGAAUAUCAGGUAAUAUGAGAUUAUUUGUU